This 811-nucleotide long non-coding RNA is filed under the name Homo sapiens (human). RNAcentral's name for it is "non-protein coding lnc-ZC3H11B-1:18". The record is from RNAcentral. Lineage: Eukaryota; Metazoa; Chordata; Mammalia; Primates; Hominidae.
AGAACGCAAAAGAUUCUUCAAAAUCAAACUGUGUCCGGAAUUGGUGGGUUCUUGGUCUCACUGACUUCAAGAAUGAAGCCACGGACCCUGGCGGUGAGUGUUACAGCUCUUAAGGUGGCGUUUCUGGAGUCUGUCCCUUCUGAUGUUCAGAUGUGUUCGGAGUUUCUUCCUUCUGGUGGGUUCGUGGUCUCGCUGGCUCAGGAGUGAAGCUGCAGAUCUUCACGGUUGCUAGUAACACAAUAAUAAAGCUGCUUUAUUUUCCAGUGAAGAUGUAUGUGAUAGGGAGUGGAGGAAGAAAAAGGCCAGAAAAUUCCAUAGUUAGCAAAUAUACCUUUCUUACUUAAAAUUCUUUUUCCAAUGUGAGCCUUCUAAAGAGUUACUGAGAAAUUAGGUGAGCUCACCUCAUUUAAUGCAAUAGAUAUGUUUCUGAAAAAUAAGCAAUACAUAGGACAUUGGCCAAUUAAGAAUUCUGAUGAAGAAGAAUUUUCACAUCCGAAAGAGUAAAAAUGAAAAACGGUACAAAUGUAGUGGCUUUUAAAUUUCAAAACAAAUUAUUUUGAUAAGAUAAAUAUUCCUCUCAUAAAGUGAAAAUGGAAGAGACUGCUUGCUGGGUGUUCGUCAAAAUGGAGUUAGAUGGUCUGUCCCAGACUCCCCUGUUGUUAGUUCUGAGAACAGAAGUAAUGGUGCUUCUUCAGGACUGGCUCAUAGAAACCUGCCGUGUUCAGCCCCCACAAUCCUCUCCCUUCUGCUGGCUGGAAACAAAUGACAACGAAGCCUCACGUCUUGGAGAAACCACACUGCUGAGGAACUC